AUGCCAAAAAAGUCGAAGUACAUGAAGGGGCUUCAACAGAGGAACAUUGGGUGCCACCACCUCGGAAGCCGUGGUUACGGCGGGAAGAGGUCCAUAUGGGCCAAGCAGGACGCGAAAGCCGCGAGUCUGGGCAUCCCAGACCCCUUGGCGGAGUUCACCGUCCCGCAGGAGCGUGACGUCCUCAGGGCCCGACACCAUUGGGACCCAGUUAAGAAGGUUUUCGAGACGAACGCGCUCACGACGGAGUUCAUGAGACUUCUGGUAAUUUUAGUUUCUGGUCAAUUCGACUACACGUUAGUCAUGCAAAUUUGUAAACAAUUAUUGUUCCUUUUGCAGAGAGAGCAGCACAGGAUUGCGGCCGAAAGCGACUCGCCGUCUGCGGCAUUCGCGAGGCCCAAGUGGGACACUCCAUUUAACCGGGCGUUGAACAUAUUGAAACGACUCCCGGUGGAUACUCGACCGUCGUAUGGACGCGUGCACGGUGUCGGAGACGGCGCCACGUGGAAGAAGUACUACAGUGAGACCACGGAGGAGAGAAAGGAAAGACAGAGGUUAACCAAAGAAAACAUCGACAAGAAGGUUGAGAUUGCGGUUGAGAAGAAAUCAACUCAAACAGUCGCAACAGUGGUAGCUACCGCAAAACAGAUGGUUGUAGAUAUGUCUACUUCCUUGGUUCCGACCAUUUUCAAUUGGACCAGACAAAAUCCAGAAAAAAAUGCAGCGCACUUUCCCCUUGCUGACUUCUUGGGGAGCAGCUCGACUAGCGUUGCACCAGCACCUGCAGCUGCACCUGCUCCUGCACCUGCUCCCGCACCGGACAUGCUCGGCGGUGCUUCGUCUUUGGCUGAGCUCGAUGCCCUCACGGUAUCUGUCACACCGGCCCCCUUCAGUAAAUGUAUAAUCUCCCGUUUUCGUUGCCUUUCGGAUGUCUCAUGUCGCAGACUUUUCUUUACAGGCCGACGAAACCCCGUGCACCAUAUUGUACACCAUCGACAACUAGAAGAAGGACGUGGGCAAGGCGACGAUAAUGAAGUCGAAGGAGCCAUUGUUCCAUAG
Molecule: ribosomal RNA, 1056 nt
Filed under: Triticum aestivum (bread wheat)
Lineage: Eukaryota; Viridiplantae; Streptophyta; Magnoliopsida; Poales; Poaceae
Description: partial small subunit ribosomal RNA
Source: RNAcentral